AUCGUUCAACCAAUAUUGGUCGGAAGUAGGUAAAGACACCGAAGGAACGCGUU
This 53-nucleotide non-coding RNA is filed under the name Hyphomicrobiales bacterium. RNAcentral describes it as "Rhizobiales bacterium Glutamine-I sequence". It matches the Rfam family "Glutamine riboswitch aptamer (glnA leader)". Lineage: Bacteria; Pseudomonadati; Pseudomonadota; Alphaproteobacteria; Hyphomicrobiales. The record is from RNAcentral.